ACGGGUGAGUAAUAUAUCGGAACGUACCCAAGAGUGGGGGAUAACGUAGCGAAAGUUACGCUAAUACCGCAUACGAUCUAAGGAUGAAAGCAGGGGAUCGCAAGACCUUGUGCUCCUGGAGCGGCCGAUAUCUGAUUAGCUAGUUGGUGGGGUAAAGGCCCACCAAGGCAACGAUCAGUAGCUGGUCUGAGAGGACGACCAGCCACACUGGAACUGAGACACGGUCCAGACUCCUACGGGAGGCAGCAGUGGGGAAUUUUGGACAAUGGGGGCAACCCUGAUCCAGCAAUGCCGCGUGAGUGAAGAAGGCCUUCGGGUUGUAAAGCUCUUUUGUCAGGGAAGAAAAGGCUGCGGCUAAUAUCCACAGCUGCUGACGGUACCUGAAGAAUAAGCACCGGCUAACUACGUGCCAGCAGCCGCGGUAAUACGUAGGGUGCAAGCGUUAAUCGGAAUUACUGGGCGUAAAGCGUGCGCAGGCGGUUUCGUAAGUCUGUCGUGAAAUCCCCGGGCUUAACCUGGGAAUGGCGAUGGAGACUGCGAGGCUAGAGUUUGGCAGAGGGGGGUAGAAUUCCACGUGUA
This 579-nucleotide ribosomal RNA is filed under the name Oxalobacteraceae bacterium StTD431. RNAcentral describes it as "bacterial SSU rRNA". It matches the Rfam family "Bacterial small subunit ribosomal RNA", at positions 102 to 677 of the family's 1533-position model. The record is from RNAcentral. Lineage: Bacteria; Pseudomonadati; Pseudomonadota; Betaproteobacteria; Burkholderiales; Oxalobacteraceae.